Molecule: long non-coding RNA, 2537 nt
Organism: Piliocolobus tephrosceles (Ugandan red Colobus)
Lineage: Eukaryota; Metazoa; Chordata; Mammalia; Primates; Cercopithecidae
Source: Ensembl
UAAAAAAAAAAAAAAAAUAAAUAAAAAAGCUACGUUUAAAAAAAAAAUAAUUCUAUUUAUACUAUUUUUUAUUCUAUUCAUUUUUAUGUGUGAACAGGUUAAUAUAUUAAUUUAUCAAGAGAAUGGAUGUAUACUUGAGAUAAAAAAUCAUAGCUAUGACAGCAAAUGUAUUCAAUUACAUUAUGCAUCGAAUGAACAUUAUAACAGUGUUCGGUUCAAGAACAAGGCUUUAGAAAACGAACUGAUGUCUAUUAUUGAUUUAAAAGAAAUACUAAACAGCCAGGAAGAUAGUGACUCUAUAAAAACGUUUUACGAAACAACUGAAAAUGAGCUGAGUGAUUAUAAUAUUGAUGAUAUAGAUAUAAGUAAAAAAGAGGAUGAAAUAGAAGAAGAUAAUACGAGUAUACAUAAAAUAAAUAAUAACAAUAAUCAAUCUAAAAGUGCUGAUAAAUGUUUAUGUAGUGACAGUUUUAUUAAUAAUAUGUUUUUAUUUAAUAAUAGUUUUAUGUGUAAAUAUGAUAUUGAUAAAAAUAAUAAUAAUAAUGAUAAACACAUUGUUAAUAAGAGCAGCAAUAUGUUACAUCAACAUGAAGAAAAUGAUGUUUGUGGUUAUAAUGGCUGUAUCCACGAUAGUAGUAGAUAUUAUGACAGUGAUACAAAUAAAGUGAGCUCAUUAAAUAUAUUGCAUAGCAUAUCCGAUAGUGUGAAAAAUAAAAGAGCUAGAAGUAGAAGUAUGCCCAGUAUAAAUGAAUAUUUUUUUUAUUUUUUAACUGACAACAUAUUAGAUGAUGAUAUUAAUAGUGAUAGCACUAUUGAUUAUUUAAAUGAACAAAAAAAGGAAAACCUUAAAAAGGAAAACUGUAAAAAAGAAAAUCAAAAAAAGGAAAAUCGUAAAAAGGAAAAUCGUAAAAAGGAAAAUCAAGAUGAAAUUGUGCAUGGGAAUGGGGACGAACAAGAACAAGAACACGAACACGAACACGAACACGAACACGAGAAGAGAACAAAAAUAACUAAAAGAAUAAUAAAAAAAAAGAAGCAACUAUACAUUUUUAAAUGUAAUUACAUAUAUCAAAAAAAUGAACAUUUAUUAUACGAUUUUUUAUUCGAAAAAAAUAGUAGUAAUAAAAAGAAACCAAUUCGCUUUUUUUUUAAUAAGCAUUUUUAUAAGAAUCUAUGUUUCAGUAAAACAGUAGAACAAGAACCAAGAAAGUUAAUAAAAGAUUUACCAAAUUUAACAGAAAAAGAAAAGGUUAUAAAUGUAUGUACUAAUGAUAAAAGCUAUUUGUUAGAUGGUAAUGAUAAGGUAAAUGUAAGUAAAAAUUUAUAUAAAACACAAAGUGAUGAACACAUAGAUGGUAGUUUUAGUAGUGCUACUAACAAGAAUAGUCAUAGAAACGGGUAUAACAACAUAGACAAUUAUAAUAGCAGUCAUAGUGUCGUAAGAAAGUAUGAUAACAAUAGUCAUAACACAUGCAUACAUGAGGCAUAUAUAUCGAAUUAUGAAAUAGAAGAAAGUGUUAAACAAAUAAUAAAAAAAAAAAAAAAAAAAAAAUUGGUAUGUAAUAAAAAAUAUAUAAAUACUGAUAGUAAAGAGUGGUCAGAGGGUAUAUGUGACAACAAUAGUAAUACACAUUAUAAUAAUAAGAAUAAUAUAGGAAAAAAUAAUAGUAACAUAUGUUGCAAUAGUAGUUGUAAAAAAUACAACCAUGAAAAAAACUUACUAAAUAAUAUAAACACUUGCAAUAACAAGAAAUAUGCGAAUACUUUUGAUAUUGUAGUUGACGAUUAUAUAUUAAAGGUUGAUCUUAAUUCCUUUUUUUUUGAUAUAUAUAAUAACACCUUAAAAAAAAAAAACUCCGGAUCCAACUAUUAUUCACAUUUCUUAAAUAAAGAAGAAAGCACAAAUUUAGCAACAAGUGUAUCUAAUUGUCCAAUGAAUAAUGAAAGUUUACAAUUUUAUGAAAGCUCAUGUAUGAGUAGUGGGACUGGUAAUAAUAGUGGAUGUUUAACACGAGAUAUAUUGGGGAGUGGUGAUUUCGAUAAUGGUUUUUUAAGAAGUUUUAAGACAGAGUCUAAUGUUGUGUCAAAUAGUAAUGACGACACGAGUAACAACAUACAUAACCUAAAUAGUGACAAUUUAAAUUAUAAUAGAAGCAUUAGCCUUUUGAAUGCAAAACAACCAAAUAGAAGUUAUACAAGCAUAAACAUGAAAGAACUAUCAAUAAAAAAGAAAUACCAAAAAAAAAAAUUUAUGAAUAUGUUCAAUAAAGAUAUAACAUCUAAAAACUUAUAUAAUUUUUUAAAUAUUGAUUAUAUAUUAAAUAAUGAAAAGAUAAAAUUUAUAAUACCUUUUUAUUUUAAAAAAGAAAAAGUAAAUAUAUUUAAAAAAAAAAACCUGAACAUAAUAAAUUUUAAUUUUUGUAAUCAUGUAUAUUUUACAUUUAACUUGAAUAAACAUAUGUUAAACAAAAAAAUUAAUUAUUUUAAAAAUCUAUAUGAAGAGUUCUUAAAUAAAGAAAAACAUAAAUAUAAAAAAA